RNAcentral lists this ribosomal RNA (242 nucleotides) under uncultured bacterium. RNAcentral's name for it is "partial 16S ribosomal RNA". It matches the Rfam family "Bacterial small subunit ribosomal RNA", at positions 535 to 776 of the family's 1533-position model. The record is from RNAcentral.
CUAGCGUUGCUCGGAAUUACUGGGCGUAAAGCGCACGUAGGCGGUCUUUUAAGUCGGGGGUGAAAUCCUGGAGCUCAACUCCAGAACUGCCUUCGAUACUGGAAGACUUGAGUCCGGGAGAGGUGAGUGGAACUGCGAGUGUAGAGGUGAAAUUCGUAGAUAUUCGCAAGAACACCAGUGGCGAAGGCGGCUCACUGGCCCGGUACUGACGCUGAGGUGCGAAAGCGUGGGGAGCAAACAGG